GGACGGCUGACCGAGAAGACGGCAAGAAGCAGGGGCGGCCAGCUGGCGGGGCCCCGCCUCCGGCACGCGACUCGCUGAAUUCAGAAGGGGACCUUUGCCAGCCAAUAUUUCGGGAACCACAGCACCGAUUAUAAUUCUAAAGCGCUUGGUGCUUUGGGGCGAGGAUUGGAGAACCGAGCUAGCGUUUAUGUAUAGUUAUACAUUAUUACUCAUUGAAUCGCGCAUAAAAGUUCGCACGAUAGCUAUGUUGUGGGCAUAGAUCACAUGACCGCAUCUCCAUGGUAACACACGGUGCACGUGAUAUACGAAUCACGUGAGGUGCAGCGGAG
This is a long non-coding RNA of Hyla sarda, 329 nucleotides long. RefSeq lists it as uncharacterized. The transcript is spliced from 3 exons. The record is from RefSeq and is a predicted model, not a curated record. Lineage: Eukaryota; Metazoa; Chordata; Amphibia; Anura; Hylidae.